RNAcentral lists this ribosomal RNA (253 nucleotides) under uncultured bacterium. RNAcentral's name for it is "partial 16S ribosomal RNA". It matches the Rfam family "Bacterial small subunit ribosomal RNA", at positions 524 to 776 of the family's 1533-position model. The record is from RNAcentral.
UACGGGGGGGGCAGGCGUUGUUCGGAAUUACUGGGCGUAAAGGGCGCGUAGGCGGCCUUCUAAGUCAGACGUGAAAUCCCUCGGCUCAACCGAGGAACUGCGUCUGAUACUGGAAGGCUUGAAUCCGGGAGAGGGAUGUGGAAUUCCAGGUGUAGCGGUGAAAUGCGUAGAUAUCUGGAGGAACACCGGUGGCGAAGGCGGCAUCCUGGACCGGUAUUGACGCUGAGGCGCGAAAGCUAGGGGAGCAAACAGG